UAACUUCGGGAAACCGGAGCUAAUACCGGACAUAUAUUGAACCGCAUGGUUCAAUAGUGAAAGACGGUUUUGCUGUCACUUAUAGAUGGAUCCGCGCCGCAUAGCUAGUUGGUAAGGUAACGGCUUACCAAGGCAACGAUGCGUAGCCGACCUGAGAGGGUGAUCGGCCACACUGGAACUGAGACACGGUCCAGACUCCUACGGGAGGCAGCAGUAGGGAAUCUUCCGCAAUGGGCGAAAGCCUGACGGAGCAACGCCGCGUGAGUGAUGAAGGUCUUCGGAUCGUAAAACUCUGUUAUUAGGGAAGAACAAAUGUGUAAGUAACUAUGCACGUCUUGACGGUACCUAAUCAGAAAGCCACGGCUAACUACGUGCCAGCAGCCGCGGUAAUACGUAGGUGGCAAGCGUUAUCCGGAAUUAUUGGGCGUAAAGCGCGCGUAGGCGGUUUUUUAAGUCUGAUGUGAAAGCCCACGGCUCAACCGUGGAGGGUCAUUGGAAACUGGAAAACUUGAGUGCAGAAGAGGAAAGUGGAAUUCCAUGUGUAGCGGUGAAAUGCGCAGAGAUAUGGAGGAACACCAGUGGCGAAGGCGACUUUCUGGUCUGUAACUGACGCUGAUGUGCGAAAGCGUGGGGAUCAAACAGGAUUAGAUACCCUGGUAGUCCACGCCGUAACGAUGAGUGCUAAGUGUUAGGGGUUUCCGCCCCUUAGUGCUGCAGCUAACGCAUUAAGCACUCCGCCUGGGGAGUACGACCGCAAGGUGAAACUCAAAGGAUUGACGGGGACCCGCACAAGCGGUGGAGCAUGUGGUUUAAUUCGAGGCACGCGAGGACCUUACCAAAUCUUGACAUCUUCUGA
This 856-nucleotide ribosomal RNA is filed under the name Staphylococcus epidermidis. RNAcentral's name for it is "bacterial SSU rRNA". It matches the Rfam family "Bacterial small subunit ribosomal RNA", at positions 144 to 994 of the family's 1533-position model. Lineage: Bacteria; Bacillati; Bacillota; Bacilli; Caryophanales; Staphylococcaceae. The record is from RNAcentral.